AACGCACGAGACCUGCGGACCUGCGGAGGGAUCAUUACAAGAAGCCGAAAGGCUACUUCAAACCAUCGCGAACUCGUCCAAGUUGCUUCGGCGGCGCGGCAUCCCGUCACCGGGGCGCCGCAGCCCGGCCUCCCCGGAGGUGCGGGGCGCCCGCCGGAGGUACGAAACUCUGUAUUAUAGUGGCAUCUCUGAGUAAAAAGCAAAUAAGUUAAAACUUUCAACAAUGGAUCUCUAGAUCGG
This 240-nucleotide unclassified non-coding RNA is filed under the name soil metagenome. RNAcentral's name for it is "partial contains 5.8S ribosomal RNA, internal transcribed spacer 2, and large subunit ribosomal RNA". The record is from RNAcentral.